This 1545-nucleotide ribosomal RNA is filed under the name Salmonella enterica subsp. enterica serovar Enteritidis str. EC20110357. Its description in RNAcentral is "bacterial SSU rRNA". It matches the Rfam family "Bacterial small subunit ribosomal RNA". Lineage: Bacteria; Pseudomonadati; Pseudomonadota; Gammaproteobacteria; Enterobacterales; Enterobacteriaceae. The record is from RNAcentral.
AAAUUGAAGAGUUUGAUCAUGGCUCAGAUUGAACGCUGGCGGCAGGCCUAACACAUGCAAGUCGAACGGUAACAGGAAGCAGCUUGCUGCUUCGCUGACGAGUGGCGGACGGGUGAGUAAUGUCUGGGAAACUGCCUGAUGGAGGGGGAUAACUACUGGAAACGGUGGCUAAUACCGCAUAACGUCGCAAGACCAAAGAGGGGGACCUUCGGGCCUCUUGCCAUCAGAUGUGCCCAGAUGGGAUUAGCUUGUUGGUGAGGUAACGGCUCACCAAGGCGACGAUCCCUAGCUGGUCUGAGAGGAUGACCAGCCACCACACUGGAACUGAGACACGGUCCAGACUCCUACGGGAGGCAGCAGUGGGGAAUAUUGCACAAUGGGCGCAAGCCUGAUGCAGCCAUGCCGCGUGUAUGAAGAAGGCCUUCGGGUUGUAAAGUACUUUCAGCGGGGAGGAAGGUGUUGUGGUUAAUAACCGCAGCAAUUGACGUUACCCGCAGAAGAAGCACCGGCUAACUCCGUGCCAGCAGCCGCGGUAAUACGGAGGGUGCAAGCGUUAAUCGGAAUUACUGGGCGUAAAGCGCACGCAGGCGGUCUGUCAAGUCGGAUGUGAAAUCCCCGGGCUCAACCUGGGAACUGCAUUCGAAACUGGCAGGCUUGAGUCUUGUAGAGGGGGGUAGAAUUCCAGGUGUAGCGGUGAAAUGCGUAGAGAUCUGGAGGAAUACCGGUGGCGAAGGCGGCCCCCUGGACAAAGACUGACGCUCAGGUGCGAAAGCGUGGGGAGCAAACAGGAUUAGAUACCCUGGUAGUCCACGCCGUAAACGAUGUCUACUUGGAGGUUGUGCCCUUGAGGCGUGGCUUCCGGAGCUAACGCGUUAAGUAGACCGCCUGGGGAGUACGGCCGCAAGGUUAAAACUCAAAUGAAUUGACGGGGGCCCGCACAAGCGGUGGAGCAUGUGGUUUAAUUCGAUGCAACGCGAAGAACCUUACCUGGUCUUGACAUCCACAGAAGAAUCCAGAGAUGGAUUUGUGCCUUCGGGAACUGUGAGACAGGUGCUGCAUGGCUGUCGUCAGCUCGUGUUGUGAAAUGUUGGGUUAAGUCCCGCAACGAGCGCAACCCUUAUCCUUUGUUGCCAGCGGUUAGGCCGGGAACUCAAAGGAGACUGCCAGUGAUAAACUGGAGGAAGGUGGGGAUGACGUCAAGUCAUCAUGGCCCUUACGACCAGGGCUACACACGUGCUACAAUGGCGCAUACAAAGAGAAGCGACCUCGCGAGAGCAAGCGGACCUCAUAAAGUGCGUCGUAGUCCGGAUUGGAGUCUGCAACUCGACUCCAUGAAGUCGGAAUCGCUAGUAAUCGUGGAUCAGAAUGCCACGGUGAAUACGUUCCCGGGCCUUGUACACACCGCCCGUCACACCAUGGGAGUGGGUUGCAAAAGAAGUAGGUAGCUUAACCUUCGGGAGGGCGCUUACCACUUUGUGAUUCAUGACUGGGGUGAAGUCGUAACAAGGUAACCGUAGGGGAACCUGCGGUUGGAUCACCUCCUUA